This 204-nucleotide long non-coding RNA is filed under the name Elaeis guineensis (African oil palm). RNAcentral's name for it is "long non-coding RNA (EGUI_LNC067507)". The record is from RNAcentral. Lineage: Eukaryota; Viridiplantae; Streptophyta; Magnoliopsida; Arecales; Arecaceae.
UCCACAGGAUCGUCCAUGCCGAUCUUGAAUAGCGGGUUUGGGACUCUCUGGGGAUAUUUUUUGAGGUAGGUCGAUUUACUUUUUUCUUCCUUUCGCUUCUUCACUUAGUUCAUUUCUUAGCUUUCAUAUUGACUUUCUGGCCGCUCUUGCAGAUUGGACACCAGCUCAUCGCCAACAUCGUGGCGAUGGAAAAUGCAAAGAAGG